This 28-nucleotide non-coding RNA is filed under the name Rattus norvegicus (Norway rat). The record is from RNAcentral. Lineage: Eukaryota; Metazoa; Chordata; Mammalia; Rodentia; Muridae.
AGCAAACAAGCAACAUCUGGGAGGGAAU